This 490-nucleotide ribosomal RNA is filed under the name uncultured bacterium. Its description in RNAcentral is "partial 16S ribosomal RNA". It matches the Rfam family "Bacterial small subunit ribosomal RNA", at positions 30 to 507 of the family's 1533-position model. The record is from RNAcentral.
AUUGAACGCUGGCGGCAGGCCUAACACAUGCAAGUCGAACGGUAACAGGAAGAAGCUUGCUUCUUUGCUGACGAGUGGCGGACGGGUGAGUAAUGUCUGGGAAACUGCCUGAUGGAGGGUGAUAACUACUGGAAACGGUAGCUAAUACCGCAUAACGUCGCAAGACCAAAGAGGGGGACCUUCGGGCCUCUUGCCAUCGGAUGCGCCCAGAUGGGAUUAGCUAGUAGGUGGGGUAACGGCUCAACUAGGCGGCGAUCCCUAGGUGGUCUGAGAGGAUGACCAGCCACACUGGAAGUGAGACACGGUCCAGACUCCUACGGGAGGCAGCAGUGGGGAAUAUUGCACAAUGGGCGCAAGCCUGAUGCAGCCAUGCCGCGUGUAUGAAGAAGGCCUUCGGGUUGUAAAGUACUUUCAGCGGGGAGGAAGGGAGUAAAGUUAAUACCUUUGCUCAUUGACGUUACCCGCAGAAGAAGCACCGGCUAACUCCGUG